Molecule: ribosomal RNA, 465 nt
Filed under: uncultured bacterium
Lineage: Bacteria
Description: partial 16S ribosomal RNA
Rfam family: Bacterial small subunit ribosomal RNA
Source: RNAcentral
GACGAACGCUGGCGGCGUGCUUAACACAUGCAAGUCGAACGGAAAGGCCCUGCUUGCAGGGUACUCGAGUGGCGAACGGGUGAGUAACACGUGGGUGAUCUGCCCUGCACUUCGGGAUAAGCCUGGGAAACUGGGUCUAAUACCGGAUAGGAGCCAUUUUUAGUGUGAUGGUUGGAAAGUUUUUUCGGUGUAGGAUGAGCUGGCGGCCUAUCAGCUUGUUGGUGGGGUAAUGGCCUACCAAGGCGGCGACGGGUAGCCGGCCUGAGAGGGUGGACGGCCACAUUGGGACUGAGAGACGGCCCAGACGCCGACGGGAGGCAGCAGUGGGGAAUAUUGCACAAGGGGCGCAAGGCUGAUGCAGCGACGCCGCGUGGGGGAUGACGGCCUUCGGGUUGUAAACACCUUUCGCGAGGGACGAAGCUUUUUGUGACGGUACCUAGAGAAGAAGCACCGGCUAACUACGUG